RNAcentral lists this ribosomal RNA (443 nucleotides) under uncultured bacterium. RNAcentral's name for it is "bacterial SSU rRNA". It matches the Rfam family "Bacterial small subunit ribosomal RNA", at positions 28 to 486 of the family's 1533-position model. The record is from RNAcentral.
GACGAACGCUGGCGGCGUGCCUAACACAUGCAAGUCGAGCGAUGAAGUUUCCUUCGGGAAACGGAUUAGCGGCGGACGGGUGAGUAACACGUGGGUAACCUGCCUUGUAGAGGGGAAUAGCCUUCCGAAAGGAAGAUUAAUACCGCAUAAUAUUGUACUUUCGCAUGAAAGAACAAUUAAAGGAGCAAUCCGCUACAAGAUGGACCCGCGGCGCAUUAGCUAGUUGGUAAGGUAAUGGCUUACCAAGGCGACGAUGCGUAGCCGACCUGAGAGGGUGAUCGGCCACAUUGGGACUGAGACACGGCCCAGACUCCUACGGGAGGCAGCAGUGGGGAAUAUUGCACAAUGGGGGAAACCCUGAUGCAGCAACGCCGCGUGAGUGAUGACGGUCUUCGGAUUGUAAAGCUCUGUCUUUGGGGACGAUAAUGACGGUACCCAAGAGA